UACGAGGGGGGCAAGCGUUGUUCGGAAUUAUUGGGCGUAAAGGGCGCGCAGGCGGUGCUAUAAGUCUGUGGUGAAAUCUCUGGGCUCAACUCAGAGUCUGCCAUAGAAACUGUAGUGCUAGAGUGUGGGAGAGGUGAGUGGAAUUCCCGGUGUAGCAGUGAAAUGCGUAGAUAUCAGGAGGAAUACCGAUGGCGAAGGCAGGUCUCUGGGCUGACACUGACGCUCAUGCACGAAAGCGUGGGGAGCAAACAGG
Molecule: ribosomal RNA, 253 nt
Filed under: uncultured bacterium
Lineage: Bacteria
Description: partial 16S ribosomal RNA
Rfam family: Bacterial small subunit ribosomal RNA
Source: RNAcentral